UCCAGACUCCUACGGGAGGCAGCAGUGGGGGAUAUUGCACAAUGGGGGGAACCCUGAUGCAGCGACGCCGCGUGGGUGAAGGAGCGUUUCGGCGCGUAAAGCCCUAUCGGCAGGGAAGAAGGAGGACGGUACCUGACUAAGAAGCCCCGGCUAACUACGUGCCAGCAGCCGCGGUAAUACGUAGGGGGCAAGCGUUAUCCGGAUUUACUGGGUGUAAAGGGGGCGCAGACGGCAGCGCAAGCCAGGAGUGAAAGCCCGGGGCCCAGCCCCGGGACUGCUCUUGGAACUGCGCGGCUGGAGUGCAGGAGGGGCAGGCGGAAUUCCUGGUGUAGCGGUGAAAUGCGUAGAUAUCAGGAGGAACACCGGUGGCGAAGGCGGCCUGCUGGACUGCGACUGACGUUGAGGCCCGAAAGCGUGGGGAGCAAACAGGAUUAGAUACCCCAGUAUAU
RNAcentral lists this ribosomal RNA (449 nucleotides) under uncultured bacterium. RNAcentral's name for it is "partial 16S ribosomal RNA". It matches the Rfam family "Bacterial small subunit ribosomal RNA", at positions 330 to 794 of the family's 1533-position model. The record is from RNAcentral.